Molecule: non-coding RNA, 329 nt
Organism: Biomphalaria pfeifferi
Lineage: Eukaryota; Metazoa; Mollusca; Gastropoda; Planorbidae
Source: the annotation of a GenBank genome assembly
CUUGGCUUAUACAGAGUAAUCUUUAUUAAACAAUAAAUUUAAACAGAUUACCAAAAAACAUAAUGACCAAUCUUGUCAAAUAACAAAUAGAAUGAACUGUAAAUUUCUACAUAAUAGAAGCAUAUUCCUCCACAUUUUAAUAUAUAUAUAUAUAUACAUUUUAUGAGUAAUAACACCAGUCAAUACAGAUGGUGAUUGUAACUUCAUGUCACUCAAUAUAAACAAGACAUUGAAAGACAAAAUGUUGGGAUUAUUAAAUCUAAUUAAAGUUGCAGUUUUGUUCUGGGAACAUGGUCAUAGAGAGACACUAAGUGGAGACUAGGACAUGC